RNAcentral lists this transfer RNA (73 nucleotides) under Tannerella forsythia. RNAcentral describes it as "tRNA-Gly(gcc)". It matches the Rfam family "tRNA". From Rfam's summary of the family: Transfer RNA (tRNA) molecules are approximately 80 nucleotides in length. Their secondary structure includes four short double-helical elements and three loops (D, anti-codon, and T loops). RNAcentral also lists the same sequence under 3 other names. Lineage: Bacteria; Pseudomonadati; Bacteroidota; Bacteroidia; Bacteroidales; Tannerellaceae. The record is from RNAcentral.
GCGGAAGUAGCUCAGUUGGUAGAGCACAACCUUGCCAAGGUUGGGGUCGCGGGUUCGAGUCCCGUUUUCCGCU